AAUUACUGCCAUACGACCCUGAACGUACCCGAUCUUGUCUGAUCUUGGAAGCUAAGCACGGUUGGGCCUGGUUAGUACUUGGAUGGGAGAAAUUAUCAUUAUAAUUU
This 107-nucleotide ribosomal RNA is filed under the name Nannospalax galili (Upper Galilee mountains blind mole rat). The record is from RNAcentral. Lineage: Eukaryota; Metazoa; Chordata; Mammalia; Rodentia; Spalacidae.